UCACCAUGUAAUCCCCGGAAUUGGCCGGGGAGUAUCCACCUCCGGACCUUAAUCUGGAUUCGCCAUGGAGA
Molecule: non-coding RNA, 71 nt
Filed under: Elusimicrobiota bacterium
Lineage: Bacteria; Pseudomonadati; Elusimicrobiota
Description: Elusimicrobia bacterium 30-dG-II sequence
Rfam family: 2dG-II purine riboswitch aptamer
About the family: Purine riboswitch variant that recognize 2'-deoxyguanosine
Source: RNAcentral